Molecule: ribosomal RNA, 448 nt
Filed under: uncultured bacterium
Lineage: Bacteria
Description: partial 16S ribosomal RNA
Rfam family: Bacterial small subunit ribosomal RNA
Source: RNAcentral
AAGCCAGACUCCUACGGGAGGCAGCAGUGGGGGAUAUUGCACAAUGGGGGAAACCCUGAUGCAGCGACGCCGCGUGUGGGAAGACGGUCUUCUGGAUUGUAAACCACUGUCCCCAGGGACGAAAAUGACGGUACCUGACUAAGAAGCCCCGGCUAACUACGUGCCAGCAGCCGCGGUAAUACGUAGGGGGCAAGCGUUAUCUGGAUUUACUGGGUGUAAAGGGAGCGUAGACGGCAAUGCAAGCCAGAUGUGAAAGCCCGGGGCUCAACCCCGGGACUGCAUUUGGAACUGUGUAGCUGGAGUGUCGGAGGGGCAGGCGGAAUUCCUGGUGUAGCGGUGAAAUGCGUAGAUAUCAGGAGGAACACCGGUGGCGAAGGCGGCCUGCUGGACUGCGACUGACGUUGAGGCCCGAAAGCGUGGGGAGCAAACAGGAUUAGAUACCCCUGUA